Molecule: ribosomal RNA, 409 nt
Filed under: uncultured bacterium
Lineage: Bacteria
Description: partial 16S ribosomal RNA
Rfam family: Bacterial small subunit ribosomal RNA
Source: RNAcentral
UGGGGAAUUUUGGACAAUGGGCGCAAGCCUGAUCCAGCCAUGCCGCGUGCGGGAAGAAGGCCUUCGGGUUGUAAACCGCUUUUGUCAGGGAAGAAAUCUUCUGAGUUAAUACCUCGGGAGGAUGACGGUACCUGAAGAAUAAGCACCGGCUAACUACGUGCCAGCAGCCGCGGUAAUACGUAGGGUGCAAGCGUUAAUCGGAAUUACUGGGCGUAAAGCGUGCGCAGGCGGUUUUGUAAGACAGAGGUGAAAUCCCCGGGCUCAACCUGGGAACUGCCUUUGUGACUGCAAGGCUUGAGUGUGGCAGAGGGGGAUGGAAUUCCGCGUGUAGCAGUGAAAUGCGUAGAUAUGCGGAGGGAACACCGAUGGCGAAGGCAAUCCCCUGGGCCUGCACUGGCGCUCAUGCACG